GCGCCCGUAGCCUAGAGGAUCAGGCAGCGACCUUCUAAGUCGCCUUACACAGGUUCAAAUCCUGUCGGGCGCG
This 73-nucleotide transfer RNA is filed under the name Gloeobacter violaceus PCC 7421. Its description in RNAcentral is "tRNA-Arg (TCT) (tRNA-Arg-TCT-1-1)". It matches the Rfam family "tRNA". Rfam says of the family: Transfer RNA (tRNA) molecules are approximately 80 nucleotides in length. Lineage: Bacteria; Bacillati; Cyanobacteriota; Cyanophyceae; Gloeobacterales; Gloeobacteraceae. The record is from Rfam by way of RNAcentral.